UACGGAGGGGGCUAGCGUUGUUCGGAAUUACUGGGCGUAAAGCGCGCGUAGGCGGACCUGCAAGUCGGGGGUGAAAGCCCGAGGCUCAACCUCGGAACUGCCUUCGAUACUGCGGGGCCCGAGUCCGGGAGAGGUGAGUGGAAUUCCUAGUGUAGAGGUGAAAUUCGUAGAUAUUAGGAAGAACACCAGUGGCGAAGGCGGCUCACUGGCCCGGUACUGACGCUGAGGCGCGAAAGCGUGGGGAGCAAACAGG
RNAcentral lists this ribosomal RNA (253 nucleotides) under uncultured bacterium. RNAcentral describes it as "partial 16S ribosomal RNA". It matches the Rfam family "Bacterial small subunit ribosomal RNA", at positions 524 to 776 of the family's 1533-position model. The record is from RNAcentral.